RNAcentral lists this non-coding RNA (691 nucleotides) under Dolicheulota formosensis. The record is from RNAcentral. Lineage: Eukaryota; Metazoa; Mollusca; Gastropoda; Stylommatophora; Camaenidae.
AUUUACUAUGGUGAAAAGUUCACGAAAAGUAAGAUAUUUAUGGUACCAAAAGGUUAAACCAGAUAAGAAAAUUUAAAAUUUACUAAAAUAAGAUUAAACUAUUUUUAAAAAUAUGACCAAAAAAGUGCCAGCAGUCGCGGUCAGACUUUUAUAGAUGUGAAUGUAUGUAAGUAAGAUAACAAUGCUAUAAUAAAUUUAUUGGUGAAAUAUUAAAUAACACUCACAUAGCAGAAACUUUAAAAAAUAUUGAAACAUAAACAAGGAUUAGAUACCCUUUUAUACAAUACUCAAUUACUUCUACUGAGCACUAAAACCUUUUUGGUUAAAACUCAAAUAGUAUGGCGGUAAUUUCAAACUUUAGGGGAACUUACCCAAUAAAUGAUAACCACCAAGGAAAUCUACUUUAUGUAACAUUUUGUAUGCCGUCGUCUACAGAUAAUAUAUAUCAUAUUAUCAAAAGAGAUUAAUAUCAAACAGUACAGAUCAAGGUGCAGACCAUCAUAAAGCUACAGGCGAGUUACUUUGUAAGCCGCAAAUGGUCACUUGUAAGAUAACCAGAAGAAGGACUUAAAUGUAAUAUUAAAUAAAUUUAAUCAGUGAAUUAAUCUGAAAUUAUGUACAAAUCGCCCGUCACUCUUGGGUAUACCUAAGAUAAGUCGUAACAUAGUAGGAGUAGCAGAAGCUGCUCCUA